GACGAACGCUGGCGGCGUGCCUAAUACAUGCAAGUUGAGCGAUGAAGAUUGGUGCUUGCACCAAUUUGAAGAGCAGCGAACGGGUGAGUAACGCGUGGGGAAUCUGCCUUUGAGCGGGGGACAACAUUUGGAAACGAAUGCUAAUACCGCAUAACAACUUUAAACAUAAGUUUUAAGUUUGAAAGAUGCAAUUGCAUCACUCAAAGAUGAUCCCGCGUUGUAUUAGCUAGUUGGUGAGGUAAAGGCUCACCAAGGCGAUGAUACAUAGCCGACCUGAGAGGGUGAUCGGCCACAUUGGGACUGAGACACGGCACAAACUCCUACGGGAGGCAGCAGUAGGGAAUCUUCGGCGAUGGACGAAAGUCUGGCCGAGCAACGCCGCGUGAGUGAAGAAGGUUUUCGGAUCGUAAAACUCUGUUGGUAGAGAAGAACGUUGGUGAGAGUGGAAAGCUCAUCAAGUGACGGUAACUACCCAGAAAGGGACGGCUAACUACGUG
This 497-nucleotide ribosomal RNA is filed under the name uncultured bacterium. RNAcentral's name for it is "partial 16S ribosomal RNA". It matches the Rfam family "Bacterial small subunit ribosomal RNA", at positions 28 to 507 of the family's 1533-position model. The record is from RNAcentral.